This is a long non-coding RNA of Rosa chinensis, 542 nucleotides long. RefSeq lists it as uncharacterized. NCBI's taxonomy places the organism in Eukaryota, Viridiplantae, Streptophyta, Magnoliopsida, Rosales, Rosaceae. The record is from RefSeq and is a predicted model, not a curated record. The transcript has 4 exons.
CAACAAUUCAUCUCCCUCGACGCGACUUCACACUCAGAUUUUCACGGAUUUUGAUUUUCGAUGCCUCUUCUCGGGAACUCUCUUCUUCGUUGAGGGAAAGAUCUACGGUUGAUAGUGUUUAAGGCAAAGGUAUGCCGAGGUUGCUCGACCUCGUUCUUUACCCCGGCUGCUGUGAAGGUUGGCGGCGGAACGAUGUAGGUUGGCCUAGUGAAAAGAAAGACACCUUCAGAACUGAGAGUAAGUUUUCAAUUCAUGGAUGUUUUGUAUAGAAAUGGGCAUUGGGUCGUGGAUGGCUGGAGGCGGAGGAGUCGGACUGAUCGUUUAAGUGAAGUUGAUCCCAUAUUAGCCUCCUUCUCUGGAGGAGCUGUUGGAGUGAUCUUAACACUGACGUUGGCUGAGAAGUAUGGAGUGAAUGGAUAUUCUGCAUUAAAUUUUGUUUCCAAAGGGAAACAAGGAUGGUGAAGAGUGUGGUGGAGGCUGAGAUUUAGAAGAUUUUGUAAAUGUCAUCAAUGAGAAAUGUAGGACGAGCAGAGAUGCGAAAG